UCACCAAGCCUUUUACCGGUACGGGCCGUGAGAGCGGGAGCCCGGAGAUGGGCACUGAGACAAGGGCCCAGGCCCUACGGGGCGCAGCAGUCGCGAAAACUUUGCAAUACACGAAAGUGUGACAAGGCUAUCCCGAGUGCCAUCCGCUGAGGAAGGCUUUUACCCAGUAUAAAUAGCUGGGAGAAUAAGGAGAGGGCAAGUCUGGUGUCAGCCGCCGCGGUAAUACCAGCUCUCCGAGUAGUGUGGAUGUUUAUUGGGCCUAAAGCAUCCGUAGCUUGCUAAACAAGUCCUCUGUUAAAUCCACCGAUUCAAUCGUUGGAUUGCGGGGGAUACUGUUUGGCUAGGGGACGGGAGAGGCCGACGGUAUUUCCGGGGUAGGGGUGAAAUCCUAUAAUCCCGGGAAGACCACCAGUGGCGAAGGCUGUCGGCUAGAACGCGCCCGACGGUGAGGGAUGAAAGCUGGGGGAGCGAACCGGAUUAGAUACCCGGGUAGUCCCAGCUGUAAACGAUGCAGGCUAGGUGUUUGGGCGGCUACGAGCCGCCCUAGUGCCGCAGGGAAGCUGUUAAGCCUGCCGCCUGGGGAGUACGGCCGCAAGGUUGAAACUUAAAGGAAUUGGCGGGGGAGCACAAGGGCGAAUCGCGCCGCUAUG
Molecule: ribosomal RNA, 650 nt
Filed under: uncultured archaeon
Lineage: Archaea
Description: bacterial SSU rRNA
Rfam family: Archaeal small subunit ribosomal RNA
Source: RNAcentral